ACCUUAUGUAGUAAAACUGUAAUACGCUGGGCUUAAAACUCAGAGAUGGGGAAGAACUCCCGUAAGGUG
This 69-nucleotide transfer RNA is filed under the name Tridacna gigas (giant clam). RNAcentral's name for it is "tRNA-Leu". It matches the Rfam family "tRNA". Rfam says of the family: Transfer RNA (tRNA) molecules are approximately 80 nucleotides in length. Their secondary structure includes four short double-helical elements and three loops (D, anti-codon, and T loops). Lineage: Eukaryota; Metazoa; Mollusca; Bivalvia; Cardiida; Cardiidae. The record is from RNAcentral.